GACGAACGCUGGCGGCGUGCUUAACACAUGCAAGUCGAACGGUAAGGCUCCAGCUUGCUGGGGUACACGAGUGGCGAACGGGUGAGUAACACGUGGGUGACCUGCCCUGCACUUCGGGAUAAGCCUGGGAAACUGGGUCUAAUACCGGAUAGGACCGCACCGUGAGGGUGUGGUGGAAAGUUUUUUCGGUGUGGGAUGGGCCCGCGGCCUAUCAGCUUGUUGGUGGGGUAAUGGCCUACCAAGGCGGCGACGGGUAGCCGGCCUGAAAGGGUGGACGGCCACAUUGGGACUGAGACACGGCCCAGACUCCUACGGGAGGCAGCAGUGGGGAAUAUUGCACAAUGGGCGGAAGCCUGAUGCAGCGACGCCGCGUGGGGGAUGACGGCCUUCGGGUUGUAAACUCCUUUCACCAUCGACGAAGGGUUUCUGACGGUAGAUGGAGAAGAAGCACCGGCUAACUACGUG
RNAcentral lists this ribosomal RNA (465 nucleotides) under uncultured bacterium. RNAcentral describes it as "partial 16S ribosomal RNA". It matches the Rfam family "Bacterial small subunit ribosomal RNA", at positions 28 to 507 of the family's 1533-position model. The record is from RNAcentral.